Molecule: long non-coding RNA, 614 nt
Filed under: Rhinopithecus roxellana (golden snub-nosed monkey)
Lineage: Eukaryota; Metazoa; Chordata; Mammalia; Primates; Cercopithecidae
Description: lncRNA (ENSRROG00000045950.1)
Source: RNAcentral
AGAUCUCUUUAAGCUCUGACAGUCUGAGAUUGAAAUGCCCGUAGAAUGGAAAUCUCAGGGCCAAGGGUUCCCGUCUGUCCUUUUCUGUCCUGUAUGUCUGCUGUGAAGACCCGUACCUGGCCUGUAUGUGUUCAGUAAAUGUUUGUUGAAUGAACACAUCUUUCUAAAUCACAAGCUGGCAGAAGGGUGGGCCUUUCUCAGACUCCAUCUCUAGAGGUUUAUGUUACUGUCCUUUUGAGAGAAUCCAGAUUCAGACUUUGAGUUCUGUGGCUGUGGGCAAAAACCAACAAAGACCCAAAUCCUCUGUCUUUGGGAGCUUGAGGAGAGUUGACCAGUUCGUGUUGCCAUUGGGCCUAAGAACUUUGCCUUUAAAAUCCAUUCCUGGUCCCUGCCUACAACUUCCUGGUCUGGGGAAUAGAGUUGGGGGGACCCCCCUCAGUCAUGUGAAUUUGACUGUCCCCACAGAAACAACAGAAGAAACAAGUGGAACAUCAGCUGGAAGAAGAAAAGAAAGCAAACAAGGAAAUACACAGAGCACAAACGGAGCAGUUAGAGACAAUCAACAUCCUCACAUUGGAAAAGGCAGACUUGAAGACCACCCUUUACCAUACUAA